GCUGGGCGUGGUGGCUCACACCUGUAAUCCCAGCUACUGGGGAGGCUGAGGCGGGAAGAUCACUUGAACCCAGGAGGCCGAGGUUGCAGUGAGCCAAGAUCCCACCACUGCACUCUAGCCUGGGUAACAAAGUGAGACCCUGUUUCAA
Unclassified non-coding RNA from Macaca fascicularis (crab-eating macaque), 148 nucleotides. It matches the Rfam family "Metazoan signal recognition particle RNA". Rfam says of the family: The signal recognition particle (SRP) is a universally conserved ribonucleoprotein. It is involved in the co-translational targeting of proteins to membranes. NCBI's taxonomy places the organism in Eukaryota, Metazoa, Chordata, Mammalia, Primates, Cercopithecidae. The record is from Ensembl.